RNAcentral lists this long non-coding RNA (502 nucleotides) under Struthio camelus australis. RNAcentral's name for it is "lncRNA (ENSSCUG00000008812.1)". The record is from RNAcentral. Lineage: Eukaryota; Metazoa; Chordata; Aves; Struthioniformes; Struthionidae.
CUUUCAUGGACUAAAUAUAAGCUUUGCAAAGGGCGAUGUAGGUUCUGAACUGUAGCAGGAGAAUGAUGAGAUUUUGCAGUUGAGCUGCUACAGCCGGAACUGAAGACAUACUGCAUACUGCUGAAUUGUAUGCCUCCUGAAACAGAAACGUCCAUUAAAAGUAUACCUAAUGUUUAUCUAGACGUGCUGGAUUCUGCUCUUCGUUGAAGCAGCCAUUCUUAGCUGUCAUGUCGGCCUCUGGAGACUGCUGGAAAUUGUCAUACCGAGGUGGAGCAGUGCUCUGGUUGUUCUAGUUAUGUCCAGGUAUUGGCCAAGCCAGCCAAGGACUGGAGAAGUCCAAAGCUGCUAUGUCAGCUUGCUAGGAGUGCCAUGUCUUACAGUGCUAGGACCAAGUAUUAGUGUAUUACUUUCUUGAGAGACAGUAACCUCCCGAUUAAGGCACAGAUUAAGGAGGACCCACCCUGCACUCCCUGCUCUUUUGCACUCUUCUUAUGUACUCACG